CUGAGGUGCAGCAAGUGGCAGAAACAUCCGCAGAACAUUGUGAAAAAUAUCUGCUCUUCUGAGAGAGGAUGUGCUGCCUGGCCCCAAGGAAGCUCUCUGCACUCAAGGAACCAGCCACCAAGCUUUUUUGACAUUUUUACUUGGUGCACAAGAGGGAACUCUGCCUUGGACAGAAGUGCAUCAUUUUCACGUGAGUGGUUGUGGAGUCCAUCUUGUUGCCGUCAUCAUUUCAUCUGCUCUUUUUACACCCCUGGAUUUUGGGAAUGCUGACACUACUAAGGUUCACACCAAGGCCUCCCGUUUGAAAAAUGUAUGUGUGCUCCUGCACCUAAUGUAUAUGCAUAUUCAGUGUGACUGCAUAUGGAAAUGGAGCAUCCAUGCCAAGAGUUUUCCAGCCAAGAGGCUUUUUGCAUGUGUGAGUCUGGAGG
Long non-coding RNA from Melospiza melodia melodia, 428 nucleotides. RefSeq lists it as uncharacterized. The transcript is spliced from 3 exons. The record is from RefSeq and is a predicted model, not a curated record. Lineage: Eukaryota; Metazoa; Chordata; Aves; Passeriformes; Passerellidae.